AACAAACGCUGGCGGCGUGCCUAAUACAUGCAAGUCGAACGAGGUAGCAAUACCUAGUGGCGCACGGGUGAGUAACGCGUGGAUAAUCUGCCUUUGAGUGGGGGAUAACUAGUCGAAAGAUUAGCUAAUACCGCAUAAGACCACAGGAACUGAGGUUCUAGGGGUUAAAGGUUUUUCGCUCAUAGAUGAGUCCGCGUGAGAUUAGCUAGUUGGUGAGGUAACGGCUCACCAAGGCGACGAUCUCUAACUGGUCUGAGAGGAUGAUCAGUCACACUGGAACUGAGACACGGUCCAGACUCCUACGGGAGGCAGCAGUAGGGAAUAUUGCACAAUGGAGGAAACUCUGAUGCAGCGACGCCGCGUGAGUGAUGAAGGCUUUCGGGUCGUAAAGCUCUGUCGCAGGUGAAUAACACAAUGAAUGUACCCUGUAAGAAAGGAUCGGCUAACUUCGUGCCAGCAGCCGCAGUAA
This 469-nucleotide ribosomal RNA is filed under the name uncultured bacterium. RNAcentral describes it as "partial 16S ribosomal RNA". It matches the Rfam family "Bacterial small subunit ribosomal RNA", at positions 29 to 523 of the family's 1533-position model. The record is from RNAcentral.